RNAcentral lists this ribosomal RNA (477 nucleotides) under uncultured bacterium. RNAcentral's name for it is "partial 16S ribosomal RNA". It matches the Rfam family "Bacterial small subunit ribosomal RNA", at positions 28 to 523 of the family's 1533-position model. The record is from RNAcentral.
GACGAACGCUGGCGGCGUGCUUAACACAUGCAAGUCGAACGAUGAAGCUGGAGCUUGCUCCGGUGGAUUAGUGGCGAACGGGUGAGUAACACGUGAGCAAUCUGCCCUUGACUCUGGGAUAACUGCGGGAAACUGUAGCUAAUACCGGAUACGAGACCUGAGGCAUCUUCGGGUCUGGAAAGAAUUUCGGUCAAGGAUGAGCUCGCGGCCUAUCAGCUUGUUGGUGAGGUAAUGGCUCACCAAGGCGACGACGGAUAGCCGGCCUGAGAGGGGGACCGGCCACACUGGGACUGAGACACGGCCCAGACUCCUACGGGAGGCAGCAGUGGGGAAUAUUGGACAAUGGGGGCAACCCUGAUCCAGCCAUGCCGCGUGAGUGAUGAAGGCCUUAGGGUUGUAAAGCUCUUUUACCCGGGACGAUAAUGACUGUACCGGGAGAAUAAGCCCCGGCUAACUUCGUGCCAGCCGCCGCGGUAA